GAUGAAGAACGUAGCGAAAUGCGAUACGUAAUGUGAAUUGCAGAAUUCAGUGAAUCAUCGAAUCUUUGAACGCAUAUUGCGCUCUCUGGUAUUCCGGAGAGCUUGCUUGUUUGAGUAUCAGUAAACACCUCAACUUCCAUAUCUUUUUUGAAAUGGGAGUUGGACUUGAGUGAUCCCAACGCUUUUCCUCACCGAAAAGUGGCGGGUUACUUGAAAUGCAGGUGCAGCUGGACUUUUCUCUGAGCUAUAAGCAUAUCUAUUUAGUCUGCCUAAAAAACAGAUUAUUACCUUUGCUGCAGCUAACAUAAAGGAGAUUAGUUCUUGUGCUGACUGAUGCAGGAUUCACAAAGACAGCUUCGGCCGACUUUGUAAACUCGAUCUCAAAUCAAGUAAGACUACCCGCUGAACUUAAGCAUAUCAAUAAGCGGAGGA
This 432-nucleotide unclassified non-coding RNA is filed under the name soil metagenome. RNAcentral's name for it is "partial contains 5.8S ribosomal RNA, internal transcribed spacer 2, and large subunit ribosomal RNA". The stretch from base 1 to 120 matches the Rfam family "5.8S ribosomal RNA", at positions 35 to 154 of the family's 154-position model. The record is from RNAcentral.